This 549-nucleotide ribosomal RNA is filed under the name Hynobius leechii (Gensan salamander). RNAcentral's name for it is "partial 12S ribosomal RNA". Lineage: Eukaryota; Metazoa; Chordata; Amphibia; Caudata; Hynobiidae. The record is from RNAcentral.
AAAUUAAUAAAAACGGCCCUAAAGCGUGAGUAAAUUAUAUAAAAUAAAUAGAAAUAAAAAUUCACUCGACUGAUAUACGUAUAUGUUAAGCGGUAAACCAGAAACGAAAGAUAUUCUAACAAAUAACACUACUUGAACCCGGGAAGAUUUGAAACAAACUAGGUUUAGAUACCCUAUUAUGUUUAGCCCUAAACUUUGGAACACCCCGCUUGAGUACUACGAGCCACAGUUUAAAACUCAAAGGACUUGGCGGUGCUCUACACCCCCCUAGAGGAGCCUGUUUUAUAAUUGAUACUCCCCGUUAAACCUCACCACUUAUUGCCAAUACCGUUUAUAUACCGCCGUCGUCAGCUCCCCAUUUAAAUGAAAAAUAGCAGGCAUAAUGAUAAACAUAAAAACGUCAGGUCAAGGUGUAUCGAAUUAAGUGGAAAGAAAUGGGCUACAUUUUCUAAACUAGAAAAUACGAAAAAUUUUAUGAAAAACUAUUUAAAGGUGGAUGCCGCAAGAAAAAGAAAAUAGACUGUUUUUUUUAAAUAGCGCCUUGAAAGG